Long non-coding RNA from Rosa rugosa (rugosa rose), 560 nucleotides. RefSeq lists it as uncharacterized. The record is from RefSeq and is a predicted model, not a curated record. Lineage: Eukaryota; Viridiplantae; Streptophyta; Magnoliopsida; Rosales; Rosaceae. The transcript has 3 exons.
AAGUGGGAACAUCUUAUUUGCUACACUCAUAUAUUGAAACCACUUCACUCUCCACUACUUGCACUCCUAUAGUCCUUACACUGUUGAAGAUUCAGGACCUUUAAUUCCUAAAUACCAAGGAUAGUCUACAUGCUUCAAAAGAAAACCAAGUUAUAAUAAGAAACAAAUAAAAUUAAUCAGCCUGGAAUCCAAAUAACUCCAUUCAAUGGCCUUGACAGUUGAAAGUAACAGUAACACCAUUAAUCUUCUUCAUCAGGGGACACUUCCAUUUAGGAUAUUCAUCGGAGGCUUGACAUAGAACACCACAUUGGUUCGUGGAGAAUUGCCGCUUCAGAAGUGUAGAGCCUCUUUGGAUUCAGUGGAGUGCUCUGACAAGAGCUGGCUUCAAGCUUGGCAGAUAGUGUUACUCAAAUGUCUCAAGAUGUUGAUAAGGUGAGCAAUCCUAACAGCAUCAGAAUAGAAGCAGAAAAGAGAUGAUGUUGUUUGCAUAUCUGCUCUGAGUGGCCAGGGCUUAAAUGAUUUCUGCAGUGCAAUCCAGGCAAAAUUGAAAGUACUUCUAA